Molecule: transfer RNA, 57 nt
Filed under: Ovis aries (sheep)
Lineage: Eukaryota; Metazoa; Chordata; Mammalia; Artiodactyla; Bovidae
Rfam family: tRNA
About the family: Transfer RNA (tRNA) molecules are approximately 80 nucleotides in length. Their secondary structure includes four short double-helical elements and three loops (D, anti-codon, and T loops).
Source: Rfam by way of RNAcentral
UGGCUCAGACGGUAAAGCAUCUGCCUAUAAUGCAGGAGACCCAGGUUCGAUCCCUGG